GAUGAAGAACGUAGUGAAAUGCGAUAAGUAGUGUGAAUUGCAGAAUUCAGUGAAUCAUCGAAUCUUUGAACGCACAUUGCGCCCUUUGGUAUUCCUUAGGGCAUGCCUGUUCGAGCGUCUUUUAAACCUUCAAGCUAAGCUUGGUGUUGGGUGACUGUCCGCUUCACGGCGGACUCGCCUCAAAAUUAUUGGCGGCCGGUACAUUGGCUUCGAGCGCAGCAGAAACGCGAACUCGGGCCCGUCGUAUUGGCUCCCAGAAGCUAUCUUCACAAUUUUGACCUCGGAUCAGGUAGGGAUACCCGCUGAACUUAAGCAUAUCAAUAAGCGGAGGA
Molecule: unclassified non-coding RNA, 332 nt
Filed under: soil metagenome
Description: partial contains 5.8S ribosomal RNA, internal transcribed spacer 2, and large subunit ribosomal RNA
Rfam family: 5.8S ribosomal RNA (bases 1-120)
Source: RNAcentral